CUUGAUCGCAGCAGCAGCUGACAACAUCAGGGCGCCGGACAAGUUGAAUUAUUUCUGCUCACAGAUGGUAUUUGUGAAACCAGAGCAGCAGACCUCAGGAGAACAAAACUGCAUGCAAACAGCUUUAACUGAACCAAAGCUGAAUCCACACACGGCCAACAGCCGCAAAACGGUUCACAUUUUUACUCAAAUAAAACUUCUUAAAAUGA
Scatophagus argus is the source of this 209-nucleotide long non-coding RNA. RefSeq lists it as uncharacterized. NCBI's taxonomy places the organism in Eukaryota, Metazoa, Chordata, Actinopteri, Scatophagidae. The transcript has 2 exons. The record is from RefSeq and is a predicted model, not a curated record.